Molecule: transfer RNA, 76 nt
Filed under: Holophagales bacterium
Lineage: Bacteria; Pseudomonadati; Acidobacteriota; Holophagae; Holophagales
Also listed under: 2 other names
Description: tRNA-Gly
Rfam family: tRNA
About the family: Transfer RNA (tRNA) molecules are approximately 80 nucleotides in length. Their secondary structure includes four short double-helical elements and three loops (D, anti-codon, and T loops). Further hydrogen bonds mediate the characteristic L-shaped molecular structure. tRNAs have two regions of fundamental functional importance: the anti-codon, which is responsible for specific mRNA codon recognition, and the 3' end, to which the tRNAs corresponding amino acid is attached (by aminoacyl-tRNA synthetases). tRNAs cope with the degeneracy of the genetic code in two manners: having more than one tRNA (with a specific anti-codon) for a particular amino acid; and 'wobble' base-pairing, i.e. permitting non-standard base-pairing at the 3rd anti-codon position.
Source: RNAcentral
GCGGGCGUAGCUCAGUUGGUAGAGCGCCAGCUUCCCAAGCUGGAUGUCGCGAGUUCAACCCUCGUCGCCCGCUCCA